Molecule: long non-coding RNA, 200 nt
Filed under: Elaeis guineensis (African oil palm)
Lineage: Eukaryota; Viridiplantae; Streptophyta; Magnoliopsida; Arecales; Arecaceae
Description: long non-coding RNA (EGUI_LNC052982)
Source: RNAcentral
GAGGUAAAUACUUAUCCAGUGAGUUUGUGAUAUAUCUAGGAGAGAAUUGGAUUCUCUCUCAGUGGAUUCCUUUUCAGAACAAAAUGUAUCUGAAAGGAGAAGUUGACAUGGUUCAAUACACAAUAGGGUUCACUUCUCUGCCUGUUUCAGGAUUGUGCUCUUGUGUGAUUAUCUAUUUUACUCUGAAAAUAUACUGAGUA